This 253-nucleotide ribosomal RNA is filed under the name uncultured bacterium. RNAcentral's name for it is "partial 16S ribosomal RNA". It matches the Rfam family "Bacterial small subunit ribosomal RNA", at positions 524 to 776 of the family's 1533-position model. The record is from RNAcentral.
GACAGAGGUUGCAAGCGUUGUUCGGAAUCACUGGGCGUAAAGGGCGUGUAGGCGGCGGAGUAUGUCUGACGUGAAAUCCCUCGGCUUAACUGGGGAAUUGCAUCGGAAACUGCUUCGCUUGAGUGUGAGAGAGGAUGGCGGAAUUCCCAGAGUAGAGGUGAAAUUCGUAGAUACUGGGAGGAACACCUGAGGCGAAGGCGGCCAUCUGGUUCACAACUGACGCUGAGACGCGAAAGCAUGGGGAGCAAACAGG